AGAGUUUGAUCCUGGCUCAGAACGAACGCUGGCGGCGUGCUUAACACAUGCAAGUCGCGUGCGCAGUUGCCGUAGCAAUACGGUGAUGGGCGCACGGCGCACGGGUGCGUAACACGUGGGCAAUCUGCCCUUUGAUGGGGAAUAACCCGCCGAAAGGCGGGCUAAUUCCGCAUAAGAUUCUUUGGACCUCGGUCUGAAGAUUGAAAGCAGCAAUGCGUCGAAGGAGGAGCCCGCGCCCGAUUAGCUAGUUGGUGAGGUAAUGGCUCACCAAGGCAAUGAUCGGUAGCUGGUCUGAGAGGAUGAUCAGCCACACUGGAACUGAGACACGGUCCAGACUCCUACGGGAGGCAGCAGUGGGGAAUCUUGCACAAUGGGCGAAAGCCUGAUGCAGCGACGCCGCGUGGGGGAUGAAGCAUUUCGGUGUGUAAACCCCUUUCGACUGGGAAGAAUGCCUCGCAAGAGGAGUGACGGUACCAGUAGAAGAAGCCCCGGCUAACUACGUGCCAGCAGCCGCGGUAAGACGUAGGGGGCCAGCGUUGUUCGGAAUUACUGGGUGUAAAGGGUUCGUAGGCGGUGCGGCAAGUUGGGAGUGAAAUCUCUGGGCUUAACCCAGAGGCUGCUUCCAAAACUGCUGUGCUCGAGUGUGAGAGAGGCUCGUGGAAUUGCAGGUGUAGCGGUGAAAUGCGUAGAUAUCUGCAGGAACACCCGUGGCGAAAGCGGCGAGCUGGAUCACUACUGACGCUGAGGAACGAAAGCUAGGGGAGCAAACAGGAUUAGAUACCCUAGUAGUCC
This 792-nucleotide ribosomal RNA is filed under the name uncultured bacterium. Its description in RNAcentral is "bacterial SSU rRNA". It matches the Rfam family "Bacterial small subunit ribosomal RNA", at positions 8 to 796 of the family's 1533-position model. The record is from RNAcentral.